This 428-nucleotide ribosomal RNA is filed under the name uncultured bacterium. RNAcentral describes it as "bacterial SSU rRNA". It matches the Rfam family "Bacterial small subunit ribosomal RNA", at positions 355 to 775 of the family's 1533-position model. The record is from RNAcentral.
UGGGGAAUUUUGGACAAUGGGCGCAAGCCUGAUCCAGCUAUUCCGCGUGUGGGAUGAAGGCCCUCGGGUUGUAAACCACUUUUGUAGAGAACGAAAAGACACCUUUUAAAAAAGGGUGUUGCUGACGGUACUCUAAGAAUAAGCACCGGCUAACUACGUGCCAGCAGCCGCGGUAAUACGUAGGGUGCGAGCGUUAAUCGGAAUUACUGGGCGUAAAGGGUGCGCAGGCGGUUGAGUAAGACAGAUGUGAAAUCCCCGAGCUUAACUCGGGAAUGGCAUAUGUGACUGCUCGACUAGAGUGUGUCAGAGGGAGGUGGAAUUCCACGUGUAGCAGUGAAAUGCGUAGAUAUGUGGAAGAACACCGAUGGCGAAGGCAGCCUCCUGGGACAUAACUGACGCUCAGGCACGAAAGCGUGGGGAGCAAACAG